RNAcentral lists this ribosomal RNA (1441 nucleotides) under uncultured bacterium. RNAcentral's name for it is "bacterial SSU rRNA". It matches the Rfam family "Bacterial small subunit ribosomal RNA". The record is from RNAcentral.
UAACACAUGCAAGUCGAACGGAAACGAAACUAGCUUGCUAGUAGGCGUCGAGUGGCGGACGGGUGAGUAACGCGUAGGAAUCUGCCUGAUAGUGGGGGAUAGCCCGAAGAAAUUCGGAUUAAUACCGCAUAAUCUAUUCGUAGUAAAGUGGGGGACUUUCGAGCCUCACGCUAUCAGAUGAGCCUGCGUAAGAUUAGCUUGUUGGUAGGGUAAAAGCCUACCAAGGCAACGAUCUUUAGCUGGUCUGAGAGGAUGAUCAGCCACAUCGGGACUGAGACACGGCCCGAACUCCUACGGGAGGCAGCAGUGGGGAAUAUUGGACAAUGGGGGCAACCCUGAUCCAGCAAUACCGCGUGUGUGAAGAAGGCCUGAGGGUUGUAAAGCACUUUCAAUUGUGAAGAAAAGUUAACGGUUAAUAACCGUUGACCUUGACGUUAACUUUAGAAGAAGCACCGGCUAACUCCGUGCCAGCAGCCGCGGUAAUACGGAGGGUGCAAGCGUUAAUCGGAAUUACUGGGCGUAAAGCGUGCGUAGGCGGUUUAUUAAGUCAGAUGUGAAAGCCCCGGGCUUAACCUGGGAACUGCAUUUGAAACUGGUCAACUAGAGUAUGGUAGAGGAAAGUGGAAUUUCUGGUGUAGCGGUGAAAUGCGUAGAUAUCAGAAGGAACAUCAAUGGCGAAGGCAGCUUUCUGGACCAAUACUGACGCUGAGGUACGAAAGCGUGGGUAGCAAACAGGAUUAGAUACCCUGGUAGUCCACGCCGUAAACGAUGAUAACUAGCCGUUGGGGGGAUUUACCCCUUAGUGGCGAAGCUAACGCGUUAAGUUAUCCGCCUGGGGAGUACGGCCGCAAGGCUAAAACUCAAAGGAAUUGACGGGGACCCGCACAAGCGGUGGAGCAUGUGGUUUAAUUCGAUGCAACGCGAAGAACCUUACCUGGUCUUGACAUCCUGCGAACUUUCUAGAAAUAGAUUGGUGCCUUCGGGAACGCAGUGACAGGUGCUGCAUGGCUGUCGUCAGCUCGUGUCGUGAGAUGUUGGGUUAAGUCCCGUAACGAGCGCAACCCCUAUCCUUAUUUGCCAGCACAUUAUGGUGGGAACUAUAAGGAGACUGCCGGUGAUAAACCGGAGGAAGGCGGGGACAACGUCAAGUCAUCAUGGCCCUUACGACCAGGGCUACACACGUGCUACAAUGGGAAGGACAAAGAGCCGCGAAGCCGCGAGGUGUAGCUAAUCUCAUAAAUCUUUUCGUAGUCCGGAUUGGAGUCUGCAACUCGACUCCAUGAAGUCGGAAUCGCUAGUAAUCGUAGAUCAGAAUGCUACGGUGAAUACGUUCCCGGGUCUUGUACACACCGCCCGUCAUACCAUGGGAGUGGGUUGCACCAGAAGUGACUAGUCUAACUUUGUGAGGACGGUCACCACGGUGUGAUUCAUGACUGGGGUA